RNAcentral lists this ribosomal RNA (463 nucleotides) under Vreelandella stevensii. RNAcentral's name for it is "partial 16S ribosomal RNA". It matches the Rfam family "Bacterial small subunit ribosomal RNA", at positions 338 to 794 of the family's 1533-position model. The record is from RNAcentral. Lineage: Bacteria; Pseudomonadati; Pseudomonadota; Gammaproteobacteria; Oceanospirillales; Halomonadaceae.
CCUACGGGUGGCAGCAGUGGGGAAUAUUGGACAAUGGGCGAAAGCCUGAUCCAGCCAUGCCGCGUGUGUGAAGAAGGCCUUCGGGUUGUAAAGCACUUUCAGUGGGGAAGAAAGCCUUGGGGCUAAUACCCUCGAGGAAGGACAUCACCCACAGAAGAAGCACCGGCUAACUCCGUGCCAGCAGCCGCGGUGAUACGGAGGGUGCGAGCGUUAAUCGGAAUUACUGGGGUAAAGCGCGCGUAGGCGGUCUGAUAAGCCGGUUGUGAAAGCCCCGGGCUCAACCUGGGAACGGCAUCCGGAACUGUCAGGGUAGAGGGCAGGAGAGGAAGGGAGAAUUCCCGGUGGAGCGUUGAAAUGCGUAGAGAUCGGGAGGAAGACCAGUGGAGAAGGCGGCCUUCUGGACUGACACUGACGCUGAGGUGCGAAAGCGUGGGUAGCCAACAGGAUUAGAUACCCUAGUAGU